AUGAUGGAGCAGCAGCACACACGGGAUCCUCUGUGCCGCCCGUGGCUGGCUCCUCACGCGCUGAAGCCGCAGAAGAUCCCGGCGCGGGAGCAGGUACUGGAACAGCACCAGGUGCAUCCUCCUCGGGAUCAGAUGCGGGAUCUCCUGCGCCACGAGCUGGUGCAGUCUCGCCUGUGCAACCACGCACUCGUCUCCAAAAAAGGGGUAAUUCAACAUGUUAAUUAUAAAACAAAGUUUGGCUUGGCUUGUUCCUCCACAGGUGAACCUAGUACGGUUGAAGAGGCGCUGAAUGACCCACGUUGGAGGAAGGCAAUGGAAGAAGAGUAUUCGGCAUUGAAGAAAAAUAAAAUGUGGCAUCUAGUACCUCCACGACGAGGUAAAAAUCUCAUUGAUUGCAAAUGGGUGUUUCGCAUUAAAAGAAAGUCUGACGGAUCUAUAGAUCGUUACAAAGCAAGACUUGUUGCAAAGGGUUUCAAACAACGGUACGGCAUAGACUAUGAGGACACAUUUAGUCAUGUUGUUAAAGCUGCCACCAUUCGUCUUGUGUUGUCUGUUGCUGUUUCCAGGGGAUGGAGUCUCAGACAAUUAGAUGUGCAGAAUGCGUUCCUUCAUGGCAUUCUGGAAGAGGAAGUAUAUAUGAAGCAACCUCCUGGGUUUGUGAACAAAAACUCACCACUGCAUGCGUGCAAACUUGAUAAAGCUUUAUAUGGCUUGAAGCAAGCUCCCAGGGCGUGGUACUCACGUCUAAAUCAGAAACUGCUCUUGAAGGAUCUAAGUGCUGAGUUUGCUCUGAAGGAUCUAGGAGACUUACAUUUCUUCCUAGGGAUUGAGGUAAAGAAACAUGAAGAUGGCCUUCAUCUCUCUCAGGAAAAAUAUGCUACUGAUCUGGUUAGAAGAGUUGGUCUUCAAGGAUGCAAACCUUCACCAACACCCUUGUCUAGUUCAGAGAAACUCUCACUUACAGAAGGAGAACCCUUGAAUCAAGAGGACAAUACAAACUACAGAAGUCUGGUAGGAGCACUUAAGUACUUGACUCUGACAAGACCUGAUAUUUCAUUUGCUAUUAACAAAGUAUGCCAAUUUCUUCAUGCACCCACUACAGUUCAUUGGACUACUGCUAAACGUAUAGUAAGAUAUGUGAAAAAUAUUAUGAAUCUUGGUCUUACUUUCAGCAAAUCUUCAUCUACCCUAGUCAGUGCUUUCUCAGAUUCUGAUUGGGCAGGAUGCAUAGAUGACAGACGCUCUACUGGUGGGUUUGCAAUAUUUUUUGGACCAAAUCUAAUAUCAUGGUGUGCAAAGAAACAGGCUACUGUAUCAAGGUCAAGCAUAGAAGCUGAGUACAAGGCACUUGCAAAUGCUACAGCAGAAAUUAUUUGGGUACAGUCUAUGUUAAAGGAACUUGGUAUAAAGAGUACCAAAGCUCCGUGCUUAUGGUGUGAUAAUCUUGGUGCCACCUACCUAUCUGCAAAUCCAGUGUUUCAUGCAAGAACGAAGCAUAUUGAGAUUGAUUUCCACUUUGUCAGAGAAAGAGUUGCAAAUCAGCAGUUAGACAUUCGGUUUGUGCAUUCCAGAGAUCAAGUUGCAGACGGUUUCACAAAAUCGCUGCCUACAAGAAGUUUUGAAGAAUUCAAGCGAAAUCUCAACAUGACAAAGUUGUGA
RNAcentral lists this ribosomal RNA (1659 nucleotides) under Triticum aestivum (bread wheat). RNAcentral describes it as "partial small subunit ribosomal RNA". The record is from RNAcentral. Lineage: Eukaryota; Viridiplantae; Streptophyta; Magnoliopsida; Poales; Poaceae.